GAUGAAGAACGUAGCGAAAUGCGAUAAGUAAUGUGAAUUGCAGAAUUCAGUGAAUCAUCGAAUCUUUGAACGCACAUUGCGCCCGCCAGUAUUCUGGCGGGCAUGCCUGUUCGAGCGUCAUUUCAACCAUCAAGCCCCCGGCUUGUGUUGGGGACCUGCGGCUGUCGCAGGCCCUGAAAAGCAGUGGCGGGCUCGCUGUCACACCGAGCGUAGUAGCAUACAUCUCGCUCUGGGCGUGCUGCGGGUUCCGGCCGUUAAACCACCUUCAUAACCCAAGGUUGACCUCGGAUCAGGUAGGAAGACCCGCUGAACUUAAGCAUAUCAAUAAGCGGAGGA
Molecule: unclassified non-coding RNA, 336 nt
Filed under: soil metagenome
Description: partial contains 5.8S ribosomal RNA, internal transcribed spacer 2, and large subunit ribosomal RNA
Rfam family: 5.8S ribosomal RNA (bases 1-120)
Source: RNAcentral